GGAAUUCGAUUCAGGCCUGACACAUGCAAGUCGAGCGGAUGUGAGGGAGCUUGCUCCCAAACAUCAGCGGCGGACGGGUGAGUAACACGUAGGUAACCUGCCUAUAAGAGGGGGAUAACAUCGAGAAAUCGGUGCUAAUACCGCAUAAUAUAUGAAACCUCAUGGUUUCAUAUUGAAAGGUGGCUUCGGCUAUCGCUUAUAGAUGGACCUGCGGCGCAUUAGCUAGUUGGUGAGGUAACGGCUCACCAAGGCGACGAUGCGUAGCCGACCUGAGAGGGUGAUCGGCCACACUGGGACUGAGACACGGCCCAGACUCCUACGGGAGGCAGCAGUAGGGAAUCUUCCGCAAUGGACGAAAGUCUGACGGAGCAAAGGCGCGUGAGUGAUGAAGGUUUUCGGAUCGUAAAACUCAGGGUUAGGGAAGAACAAGUGCCGUUCGAAUAGGUCGGCACCUUGAC
RNAcentral lists this ribosomal RNA (458 nucleotides) under uncultured bacterium. RNAcentral describes it as "bacterial SSU rRNA". It matches the Rfam family "Bacterial small subunit ribosomal RNA", at positions 39 to 473 of the family's 1533-position model. The record is from RNAcentral.